UUAGCAGAGAUGCUUUGGUGCCUUCGGGAACUCUGAGACAGGUGCUGCAUGGCUGUCGUCAGCUCGUGUUGUGAAAUGUUGGGUUAAGUCCCGCAACGAGCGCAACCCUUAUCCUUUGUUGCCAGCGAUUCGGUCGGGAACUCAAAGGAGACUGCCAGUGAUAAACUGGAGGAAGGUGGGGAUGACGUCAAGUCAUCAUGGCCCUUACGAGUAGGGCUACACACGUGCUACAAUGGCAUAUACAAAGAGAAGCGACCUCGC
This 261-nucleotide ribosomal RNA is filed under the name Citrobacter freundii. Its description in RNAcentral is "partial 16S ribosomal RNA". It matches the Rfam family "Bacterial small subunit ribosomal RNA", at positions 997 to 1258 of the family's 1533-position model. The record is from RNAcentral. RNAcentral also lists the same sequence under 9 other names. Lineage: Bacteria; Pseudomonadati; Pseudomonadota; Gammaproteobacteria; Enterobacterales; Enterobacteriaceae.